GAAAAGCGAAAGGUAAGUAAAAAAAAUGUAACCUACUACAACAUGAUAUCUUUACUUAGCAUAAAUGGCAUAACUAUGAAAGCAACUAUGCAUGAAGUAAAAGUCUCCAACUAUCAUAAUGUUCACAAUGCGAAAUAGUAAAGUUCCGCUGUUUACUAUUCUAGUCAAUGUCCAAGUAAUACUCUAAGUCAUCAUCUGUCCACAUGUCACAUAAUGAAUACUCAAGUCAAAUUUGAAGAGACCCACCCAAAGGCUGUCUAUGGCCCUGAGACCCACCCGUAGGCUGUCUGGCCGGUGCCGAGCCUAAUGGCCCCGUGGUAGUCAUCAUCCUCACCCUAGGAAUGAGCCUGGCCCACGGCAAUCCACUUCGGCGCCCAAUCCCGCACGGCGAAUAUGAAUCGCGAUGGCUAUCUCCGGAGUGCCGGCUUGUAGGGAGCGACCCUCACAAGCAUGUGCGAAUGAGCACAAUGGCAAGUAGUCAAACGAUCCGUCGCAAGUACCAAGUCCUCAUGUCUAAUAACAUGGAAUGUGUCAAGUAUCUCAAUGGCCUAUCCCUAUGUCAUCAUGUCUCUAACAUGAAAUAUAGCAGAUAUGUAGUGGCCUAUCAAUAUGUCUCUACGUUGCAGUUUCAUAGUUUACUAGUCUCAAGUGCCCCUUUAUGACACUCUUGUUCUCUAUGUCAAAGCAUGGCAACUAUGUUCCAAAGUACAUAUUCCAAGUCAUAAUCCUCAUAAGAGAUGUAUUUUCCACUUGCAAAAUAAACACUUUUCCCGUAUGCAUGCAUUCUACUCAUAUAGCUCUACUAUAUAGUGAAAUUUUCAUAAUACAUAAGGCAUGCAUUUUAAGUGCUCUAAAAUUCAUAUAAAUUCCAUUUAGCAUAGAAAUAAAUUUAAAAAUAUUUUACAACAAGUAGAAAGAGCAUAGGGGCCAUUUCGCCCCAUUUCCACGAAGCCAAACCCACCGUCGUCAACGAAAGCUUUCGUUUACCACGACGAAGGCGUCCACCACACUCCUAGUACCCUAAAGGUAUGAAAACAAGUGUCAUCUAGUCGAAACGAAUGACGCUACGUUCAAUCAUUAAGCCUUUCAGGCAUAGGUGGAGAGAACUCACCUCUAGUGCGAAAAUCUCCUCUAAAGCUCCAAAAGAGAGCUAGGGUCCAUCCAAUCCAACUUAAUGGAAGCCUCUAAUCCACUCAAUCUAGCUUCAAAAGCC
Molecule: long non-coding RNA, 1213 nt
Filed under: Ananas comosus (pineapple)
Lineage: Eukaryota; Viridiplantae; Streptophyta; Magnoliopsida; Poales; Bromeliaceae
Description: long non-coding RNA (ACOM_LNC037158)
Source: RNAcentral